Molecule: ribosomal RNA, 403 nt
Filed under: Verrucomicrobiota bacterium
Lineage: Bacteria; Pseudomonadati; Verrucomicrobiota
Description: Verrucomicrobia bacterium partial 16S ribosomal RNA
Rfam family: Bacterial small subunit ribosomal RNA
Source: RNAcentral
UGGGGAAUAUUGCACAAUGGGCGCAAGCCUGAUGCAGCAACGCCGCGUGAACGAUGAAGGUCUUCGGAUCGUAAAGUUCUGUUGCAGGGGAAGAUAAUGACGGUACCCUGUGAGGAAGCCCCGGCUAACUACGUGCCAGCAGCCGCGGUAAUACGUAGGGGGCUAGCGUUAUCCGGAUUUACUGGGCGUAAAGGGUGCGUAGGUGGUCUUUCAAGUCGGUGGUUAAAGGCUACGGCUCAACCGUAGUUAGCCUCCGAAACUGGAAGACUUGAGUGCAGGAGAGGAAAGUGGAAUUCCAUGUGUAGCGGUGAAAUGCGUAGAUAUAUGGAGGAACACCGGUGGCGAAAGCGGCUCUCUGGUCUGUAACUGACGCUGAGGCUCGAAAGCGUGGGGAGCGAACAGG